This 211-nucleotide ribosomal RNA is filed under the name Klebsiella pneumoniae. RNAcentral describes it as "partial 16S ribosomal RNA". It matches the Rfam family "Bacterial small subunit ribosomal RNA", at positions 1 to 211 of the family's 1533-position model. The record is from RNAcentral. Lineage: Bacteria; Pseudomonadati; Pseudomonadota; Gammaproteobacteria; Enterobacterales; Enterobacteriaceae.
ACUUAAAUUGAAGAGUUUGAUCAUGGCUCAGAUUGAACGCUGGCGGCAGGCCUAACACAUGCAAGUCGAGCGGUAGCACAGAGAGCUUGCUCUCGGGUGACGAGCGGCGGACGGGUGAGUAAUGUCUGGGAAACUGCCUGAUGGAGGGGGAUAACUACUGGAAACGGUAGCUAAUACCGCAUAAUGUCGCAAGACCAAAGUGGGGGACCUU